RNAcentral lists this ribosomal RNA (502 nucleotides) under uncultured Glomeromycotina. Its description in RNAcentral is "partial small subunit ribosomal RNA". It matches the Rfam family "Eukaryotic small subunit ribosomal RNA", at positions 591 to 1092 of the family's 1831-position model. The record is from RNAcentral. Lineage: Eukaryota; Fungi; Glomeromycota.
CCAAUAGCGUAUAUUAAAGUUGUUGCAGUUAAAAAGCUCGUAGUUGAACUUCGGGGUUUACUCAUUGGUCAGGCUUAAUUGUCUGUACUGGUGAGAUGAAUCUCUACCUUCUGAGGAACUUUCAUGCCAUUUAUUUGGUGUGAUGGGAAAUCAGGACUGUUACUUUGGAAAAAUUAGAGUGUUUAAAGCAGGCUAACGUCUGAAUACAUUAGCAUGGAAUAAUGAAAUAGGACGGACUGAUUCUAUUUCGUUGGUUUCUAGGAUCACCGUAAUGAUUAAUAGGGAUAGUUGGGGGCAUUAGUAUUCAAUUGUCAGAGGUGAAAUUCUUGGAUUUAUUGAAGACUAACUACUGCGAAAGCAUUUGCCAAGGAUGUUUUCAUUAAUCAAGAACGAAAGUUAGGGGAUCGAAGACGAUCAGAUACCGUCGUAGUCUUAACCAUAAACUAUGCCGACUAGGGAUCGGACGAAGUUAAUUUUAUAAUGACGCGUUCGGCACCUUACG